GUGAUUUUAUCUGCAGCUGAGGAGCAGGAGGCUGGAGAAACCCUUGGUGGGUUUUGAAAGGUAAAGACGGAAACACCCUUUGAGGAAUCGAAAAGACAGAAUCAGAGUUUGAGUGUUAGAGAGAUGAAGGUACAAUCUGGGAAUUCUAGUUUUGUUGAGGGUGAAGAGGAGAAGAAAGAAGAAGUUCAUGUAAAGGGAAAUCAGAAGGAAAUUGACAACAAUGGCAGCUUUGAAGGUGAAAGCUUGCUGGAAUUUGAUGGUAGAGAGAGAGGUUUUACCUGUAUCAACUUUUGAGGAAUCUAUGGUUACUUCUACAUCUCAAAUUGUAGUGGCACCACUCCUAACUUAUCAUUAUCGUCCGUGUCCAGCGCUAGUCCCAGAUGAUUCAUGUCAUACGCCAAAAUCUGCUCGUACUACGGAAUUACCUCCUUGUAGCCAACCGCUUGUACUUCAAAAAAGGUAUACGAUCCACUCAAAAUACUAACCCUCAUUAUACCUUCGUGAUUUAUCAUCAUCUAUCAUUACCACAUUAUGCCUUUGUAUCAUCUUUGCCCUCUAUUUUCAUUCCUAAGACUACAAGUGAAGCAGUUUCUCAUUCUGGAUGGAGGCAGGCUAUGGUUGAUGAGAUGUCGACUUUGCAUAAGAGUGGUACUCGGGAGCUUGUCUCUCUUAUUGCAGGUAAAUCUACUGUUGGUUGUCGUUGGGUUUAUGCAGUCAAAAUUGGUCCAGACAGUCAGGUUGUCGGCUUAAGGCUCGCCUUUUUACCAAAGGGUAUACUUAGAUGAGCAUAAUUUCUUUCAUAUCUCCUUUUUCAACAAUAGUUAAUCGAUUCGCAAUUCAUAAUUUCAGGUAUGUCCAAAAUUUAUGGAGUAAUCGAAUAAAUAACAUUAUUAAAAAAAUGAAAAUUGACUAUACAUAGUAACUUUCUUACUGUAAAAUGAAUUAUACGAACACCAAGAGCUAUUUCAAAUCCAAAUUUGUACAGUGUAAAGUAUCACUUUAUGUUUUUUUUGUUGAAAACCUAAUUUGUUUUCUUUCUUUUGUAAAAAAUGGUCUAAACCCAUCUGCGAUUUCGUUGAUAGGUGUCGAUCCAAAUUGGUGUAAACCAGCCGGAGAGAUUUAAAUUCCUCCAGAUUUGCGAGGCACAAAGUGUAUCAUUAAAGUUCUAAAUUUUUAAUUUUUAUGCUUUAAAUUUUUUUCAAUUUCAUCAGCUUUAGAAAUACUUUUCAGUUUCCUCUUCUUUAUUGAGUUGAAAUUUGUCCAUUUGUUAAUGUAAAAUUACAUAUUUGUCAUUCUUGCUUUUGAAUUUAAUUUUUUCCAUUUGUUAUUAGGUAAAAAUAUACAUACAAGGAUAUAAUUGUCAUUUUGCUUGAUAUUUAAUUUAUUUUUUAUGUAUAAAAUAUAUUAUUUUACUUGUCCAUUAAAUUCCUUCCACGUGAUUGAAUAUUAAACACACAAUUUCAAAAUAUCUUUUGUCUGAAAAUUUUCAAAAUACCUUUAAAUAAUUUUUCAUCUUCAUAUUUUCUUCUCACAGAUAGUUCAUCAUAGUUUGUGAUAUCAAGUUUAUUUAGUCCUCUCUUUUUUCAAUUCCAGUGAAUACUGAGUUGGCCAAAUUAUGACACGGAAAACAUUCUGAUGGUCAGAUUCAGACCUCUAUCUUUCCAGCUUCUGUUAUAUGAAUCUUGUGUACACAUUCACCAUUAUUAAGGUGGUGGAGAUGAUUCAUUGAAAGUGGACUAUUUUAGUGAAUCUAUCUCAAUCUGUAACCUUUAUUGGCUUGUACAUUGUUGUACUUUGUGAAGUUCAUAUAGGCAGUGAUUUUUAGGGGUGAUGCUUGAUGUCCAUGGUACAUUAUGAGAUUUCUGCAUUGCUUUAUGUUAUCUGCAUUAUGUUUUUAUCUAAGAAGUUUUUAUUCUAACCGUUUACCUCUCAUGUGUAGUUUACACAAUAGACAGAUGUUAGGAAUCAACCAUUUGCAGUUUAUACAAUAGUAGUGUUUGUAACUGAACAGUCAAGCUUAUUUUUAUUUGUGUUAGUGUGUAAUACAUGUUUUAUUUUAUUUUAUGUUGCAGCCUUAAUUGA
Long non-coding RNA from Solanum lycopersicum (tomato), 2082 nucleotides. RefSeq lists it as uncharacterized. NCBI's taxonomy places the organism in Eukaryota, Viridiplantae, Streptophyta, Magnoliopsida, Solanales, Solanaceae. The record is from RefSeq and is a predicted model, not a curated record.